AAAUUGAUAAGAAAUUGCUGCUAUUGAGACAUUCGAGAAACAAAGACCGAGAGUCAUCGAGAAGGAAAAAUUAGGAAUUAGGGUUCCUGAAUCUGGUGUUGCUGUGGUGGUUGAGAUCGAUUAGGGUUUGAACAAGAAGGAGAAAUUGGUUUCACUGCCAUUGAAGGAGGAGGUUGCUGUGGCUGAAUUCUAUGGUUGAAUGGUUUGGAUUUUGCAGAAAUUGGGGGUUAUUUAUGUACAAGAACAUUGGGUUUGUGUUGAAUGUGAGUUCUUUGCAGGGAAGGUGAUAUAGUGAGGCUUAGAAUCACUAGCAAAGCUGUGCCUCCAUUAACAGAGUCAGUGCAGAUCAUAUACUCGAGAAAAGGCCUGAAUGAGCUCUUCUUCGCUAUUUCAAGCUCAUCUGAUGCUUGUUGAGUCUCUGCGCAAGUGUUGUUGCUUCAGUGGUAUUUAUGGGUCUUUAUGAUGGGUGUUUCAGGAGCUGAUAUGCUGUAACUUAUGUGGGUUGUUCUGUGCAAGGUUUGGCUGGAGAUUUAUGGCAAGGAAUCAACAAGAAACAGGUAGUAUGAAGCCAUGAGAAAUGGUCGGUCUUAGCUCGAGUGUUUGGCCUGAGAUUGGGUUCAGAUUUGGUGUAGGUUGGUUAAGCUUUUAUGUGGAAGAUCAGGUAAAGAAGCUGGUGUUAUUGUCAUGGUUGGUGGGUCUAUUCGCAGUCAAGGGUUGCAGCUGCAGUUCAAGUGAGAUAAAUGAAGCUACAGAUUGGUAGCGAUGCUGUCUGAGGUGGUACAAUGACAUGGGCAUUGCAGGAUCAGUGAUGACACACUGUAGAUGGUUUGAGUUGAACUGACAAGAGGUGCAAGUGCAACUGCAGUUGGGAGAUGGAAUUGGCAAAGUGGAGUUGAUGGCUUUGCAGUGAACUAACUGCAGGAGAAGAGUUUGGAGAUGUCAUUGCAGGUGGUUGGUGGAUAAGACUGAGAUGGACUGACAGAGGUGGCUAUGAGGCUGUUUGAGGUUAUGCUGUGCUGAUUGAAGGCUGAAGCUGACAGGGGUAUGCUCAAGUUUGAGUUGAGACUUGAAUGAUGUGUGGAUUGCCUUGAGGUGUUGAUUUCAGAGAAUGGAAGUCUACAAAGAAGCCGGAGGAGUGUACUGCUUAGAUGUAUGCUUAGAUUUGGAGCUGAAGUUGAUUUGGUGGUUCUGGUGAUGAACUGAUGCAGCUACAGAUGGUAAUGAAUGGUGAUUGUGUGUGUUGACGGUGAUGCUGUGGAGGCCGGCUAUUCACCCUUCUCUUGCUGCUAGAAACUGGAAAUUGCUCCGGGGAGCUUGUGCUACGCUGGACAAGGUACGAAGUCGUUUUAAACACCAAGUGGUUAACAAAUGUUAUUUAUGUAACAGAGAUGAGGAGUCGUUGGAACACAUACUUUGGUCUUGUGAUUUUGCGAUGAAAGCUUGGAACUGGAUUUCGGAUAUUUUUGAUCUCAUGCCUAACCAAAAUCUGACGACAGCUUAUAAGGAAGCAAAGGGGAAGAGUCGUAUGUUUAAGGACUUAUGGCUGUUAUCUAUUCUCGUGGUCCGUUCGGAACUUUGGAUGACCAGGAAUGGUUGUGUUUAUGACAACCAAAGGGUUAAUUGGCACUUUUUUUUACAAGAAAGUGUUCAACCAGAUUCAUGAUUAUUCGCGGCGUUUAAAGGGUUGUAUGUAUAAGUGUAUAACAACAAAGAAGAGUUACGGGUCGUUGUUUACUUCAGAGUGCAGCAUAGAAGAGUGAAGUUUUCUGUUCCAAAGGAGUGUAUUUGUGUGGCUCCGGAAGAAAAUGAGUUAAUGUUGUGUUGUGAUGGUGCGGCGAGGGGCAACCCGGGAAGAGCUGGGGCAGGUGUUGUAGUUCGUGAUUCAGCUGCUACUGUUUUAGGAGCCAUGAGCAUUGGUUUUGGGAUACAAACUAACUAUUUGUCGGAACUUUUUUGUGUUAUUAUUGCUUUGGAGUGGGCUGUAAAGUUUGAUGUGCACAACAUUUGCAUUCGAACUGAUUCUAUGGGGGCGGUUGUGGAUUUUUCUGGUGAUAUUUUGGGAGUUGGUUUAUUCGACCAAGAUGGGUGGCGGUAAGAGCUAGAUACGAUAGAAUUCGUUUUGUGCAUACUUAUAGGGAAGCAAAUUGUGCAGCUGAUGCGAUGGCCAAAAGAGGCUGCAGUUUGGAAGAUGGGGUUGGAAUAAGCAUGAAUGGAAGGUAGUAGUAGUACGGGUGGAUGUGUUCGAAAUGAGGUUAGCUGCUACUUGCAAAGGCUGCAGUUCUGGUGGUGUGCAAUGGUGGUAUUUGAACUGAACUUGUUGCUGCUGUUGAUCUCAGGAAGGAGAUAUGUAUGAGCUGUGAAGUUAUGGCUCAAGUUUCAGUGCUGGGAUUGAACAGAUUAUAUGGCCUGAGCAUGAACUGGUUAUGGAACUGUAAUGCACUAUGAUGGAACAACACAAGUUCAGGCCUGUGUAAGAUGGCUUUGGCGUAGCAGUCAGACUCUGACUCACCUAGUUAGCUUCUGACUCGUUUCUGAAUCACUCAGUCUGAUUCAGUUAACGCCGUUAGUGACAGUUAAAAUUGACCGUUGUAUUUAAUGGUCUGACGUUAUGUUUGAUCGAUGACCGGGUGGACUUUGCCGGUCACCUGAGCUGCUUCCCGUGGACUUUUCUGACCAAGGUACGGUCACUUUCUGGGACCUCCGGCGACUACUUUGUGAGCAUGUUUCGUACAUGGGUUUUCUCACAUUUGGGCUUGGUGGAUUUCUAUCUAUUGGACCUUUGAAGACUAAACCUAAUUUUGGAACAAGAGGAGCAUAAAGGAGAAGUCUUUCUACAAUUUUAUUACGUAUUCUACUUGGAGUUUUGGAAAGAACCGGAUAUCUUAGGGUUUGCUUUGGUUUUGUUUCAUCUUCUUUAUUUUAUUUCUAUAAUAUUAUGAACUCCAUUAUUAUGAGUAGCUAAAAAAAUCUUUGAGUAGGGGCGAUUUGAAAGCCCGAAAUAUGAACUCAUGAUUGAUAUGAAAUAGCUCGUUUCCUUGCAA
Molecule: long non-coding RNA, 3041 nt
Organism: Papaver somniferum (opium poppy)
Lineage: Eukaryota; Viridiplantae; Streptophyta; Magnoliopsida; Ranunculales; Papaveraceae
Exons: 2
Source: RefSeq, a predicted model, not a curated record